This 775-nucleotide ribosomal RNA is filed under the name uncultured Neocallimastigales. RNAcentral's name for it is "partial large subunit ribosomal RNA". It matches the Rfam family "Eukaryotic large subunit ribosomal RNA", at positions 26 to 629 of the family's 3401-position model. Lineage: Eukaryota; Fungi; Neocallimastigomycota; Neocallimastigomycetes; Neocallimastigales. The record is from RNAcentral.
CGCAUCUGUGCAUGCAGCAUAUCAAUAAGCGGAGGAAAAGAAACUAACAAGGAUUCCCUUAGUAACGGCGAGUGAAGCGGGAAGAGCUCAAAUUUGAAAUCUUCAAGGUUUUACCUUGACGAAUUGUAGUUUAAAGAAGUGUUUUCUGUUGAAGUUUUGGUAAAAGUUCUUUGGAAUAGGACAUCAUAGAGGGUGAGAAUCCCGUAUUUGACCAUUAUUUUCAGGCUGUGUGAUACACUUUCAAAGAGUCGGAUUGUUUGGGAAUGCAGUCCAAAAUGGGUGGUAAAUUUCAUCUAAGGCUAAAUAUUGGCGAGAGACCGAUAGCGAACAAGUACCGUGAGGGAAAGAUGAAAAGAACUUUGAAAAGAGAGUUAAACAGUACGUGAAAUUGUCAAAAGGGAAGCGUUUGACACCAGUGUUGUUUUCUCGAAAAUCAAUUAAAAAGAGUUUGAUUUUGUUGUGUAUUGACCUUAACAGCUUGCAUUUCAAUUUUCUUGCUUUUUUUAAUGCACUUUUCGUUUAACAAGUCAACAUCAGUUUCUUUUGUUGUAAAAAGGUCAUUGGAAGGUGGCUUUCUUUUCGGAGAAAGUGUUUAUAGCCUUUGACUCCUGCAAUCGGAGAGACUGAGGUCUGCAGCGUAGAUCCUUCGGGGUUAGAUACAUUUGUGCUAAGUUAUAGCUUUUUAUAGACAACUUGUUGACUAUGAUUAGUCUUGUAGCUUACUCGCUUAUGCUAUUUUACCUACGCUUAGGAUGUUGAUGUGAUACUGCGAGCA